This 497-nucleotide ribosomal RNA is filed under the name uncultured archaeon. RNAcentral's name for it is "bacterial SSU rRNA". It matches the Rfam family "Archaeal small subunit ribosomal RNA", at positions 93 to 593 of the family's 1478-position model. The record is from RNAcentral.
GUAACACGUAGUCAACAUGCCCAGGGGACGUGGAUAACCUCGGGAAACUGAGGAUAAACCGCGAUAGGUCACUACUUCUGGAAUGGGUAAUGACUCAAACCUAUAUGGCCCCUGGAUUGGACUGCGGCCGAUCAGGCUGUUGGUGAGGUAAUGGCCCACCAAACCUGUAACCGGUACGGGCUCUGAGAGGAGGAGCCCGGAGAUAGGCACUGAGACAAGGGCCCAGGCCCUAUGGGGCGCAGCAGGCGCGAAACCUCUGCAAUAGGCGAAAGCCUGACAGGGUUACUCUGAGUGAUCUCCGUUAAGGAGAUCUUUUGGCACCUCUAAAAAUGGUGCAGAAUAAGGGGUGGGCAAGUCUGGUGUCAGCCGCCGCGGUAAUACCAGCACCCCGAGUGGUCGGGACGUUUAUUGGGCCUAAAGCAUCCGUAGCCGGUUCUACAAGUCUUCCGUUAAAUCCAGCUGCUUAACAGAUGGGCUGCGGAAGAUACUAUGGAGCU